This 254-nucleotide ribosomal RNA is filed under the name uncultured bacterium. RNAcentral's name for it is "partial 16S ribosomal RNA". It matches the Rfam family "Bacterial small subunit ribosomal RNA", at positions 524 to 776 of the family's 1533-position model. The record is from RNAcentral.
UACGUAGGGGGCGAGCGUUGUCCGGAUUUAUUGGGCGUAAAGAGCUCGUAGGCGGUUUGGUAAGUUGGAUGUGAAAUCUCCAGGCUCAACUUGGAGGGGUCAUUCGAUACUGCCAUGACUAGAGUUCGGUAGGGGAGUGUGGAAUUCCUGGUGGAGCGGUGAAAUGCGCAGAUAUCAGGAGGAACACCGGUGGCGAAGGCGCCACUCUGGGCCGGCACUGACGCUGAGGAGCGAAAGCGUGGGUAGCAAACAGG